Phyllostomus discolor (pale spear-nosed bat) is the source of this 1192-nucleotide non-coding RNA. Lineage: Eukaryota; Metazoa; Chordata; Mammalia; Chiroptera; Phyllostomidae. The record is from the annotation of a RefSeq genome assembly.
GGCAGGUUUUUGUACACUGCUUAAUGGGGCCCAUGGCAAUGUGAUGCUUACUUCGAGUACUGGGGCCAGGGCACCCUGGUCACCGUCUCCUCAGCGGACCCAGUCAGCCCCAGUUCCUUCCCACUGAGUCUCCAAAGCACUGACCCAGCCGGUCAUGUAGUCAUUGGCUGCUUGGUCCGGGAUUUCUUUCCCCUGGGGUCCGUGAACGUGACCUGGGACCACAAUGGGAAAGGCACCUCCAUCAUGAACUUCCCCCCUGUGCAAGUUGCUGGGGGCCUCUACACCAUGAGCAGCCAGCUGACCCUACCAGCUGACCAGUGCCCAGAGAAAGGAACUCAGAAAUGCCACGUGAAGUACAACUCCAAUCCAAGCCAGGCUGUGGAUGUGCCCUGCUCCACAGCAUCAAAGUGUCCACAAUCAUGCUGCCAGCCCCACCUGACAAUGCAUCGGCCUGCCCUCGAGGACCUGCUCUUAGGCUUCAAUGCCAACAUCACGUGCACACUGAGUGGCCUACAAGACCCUGAGGGUGUCACCUUCACCUGGAAGCCCACAGGUGGGAAGGAGGCUAUCCAGGGGACAGCUGAGCGUGACUCCUUUGGCUGCUACAGUGUGUCCAGCAUCCUGCCAGGCUGUGCCGAGCUGUGGAACCGUGGGGACAACUUCUCAUGCACUGUCAACCAUCCUGGGUCUAAAACCCCACUAACUGCCACCAUCACCAAACCAUCAGGGAACCUCCUGCUGCCCCAGGUCCACCUGCUGCCACCACCCUCAGAGGAGCUGGCCCUCAAUGAGAUGGUGACACUGACAUGCUUGGUGCGGGGCUUCAGCCCCCGUGACGUGCUAGUGCUGUGGCUGCACGGGGACCAGGAGCUGCCCCGAGAUAAGUACUUGACCUGGAGCCCCCUGCAGGAGGAUGCCCAAGGCACCACAUUUGCUGUGACCAGUGUGCUGCGUGUGGAGGCUGAGCAGUGGAAGAAUGGGGACAACUUCUCCUGCAUGGUGGGCCAUGAGGCCCUGCCCCGGAACUUCACCCAGAAGACCAUCGACCGCCUGGCGGGUAAACCCACCCACGUCAACGUGUCUGUAAUCUUGUCGGAGGUGGAGGGCACCUGUUACUGAGCAGCCCCACCUGCCCACCUUACCCUUGAAUAAACUCCAUGCUGGCUCAAAGCAGCCACACGUCCCUCUGGCA